RNAcentral lists this ribosomal RNA (236 nucleotides) under uncultured bacterium. RNAcentral describes it as "partial 16S ribosomal RNA". It matches the Rfam family "Bacterial small subunit ribosomal RNA", at positions 100 to 334 of the family's 1533-position model. The record is from RNAcentral.
CGGGACGGGUGAGUAACGCGUGGGUAACCUGCCUCAUACAGGGGGAUAACAGUUAGAAAUGGCUGCUAAUACCGCAUAAGACCACAGUACUGCAUGGUACAGUGGUAAAAACUCCGGUGGUAUGAGACGGACCCGCGUCUGAUUAGGUAGUUGGUGAGGUAACGGCCCACCAAGCCGACGAUCAGUAGCCGACCUGAGAGGGUGACCGGCCACAUUGGGACUGAGACACGGCCCAG